RNAcentral lists this small RNA (142 nucleotides) under Arabidopsis thaliana (thale cress). RNAcentral describes it as "ATSL050970". The record is from RNAcentral. Lineage: Eukaryota; Viridiplantae; Streptophyta; Magnoliopsida; Brassicales; Brassicaceae.
UCAAACAAAUUUUUGUUUUAAAUAGUUGUCGAAAUCUAAUUCAAAUAUUGGAGAAAUAAGAUUUAGUGAACUGAUAGUAAAUGUAUUUAGGUGCGUUUUGGUCAUUUUAAGGGAUUGCAAUUGUAUUUUGGCUUGUCAAAUA